AGAGUGAACGCUGGCGGUAGGCCUAACACAUGCAAGUCGAACGGCAGCACAGUAGGAGCUUGCUCUUACGGGUGGCGAGUGGCGGGACGGGUGAGGAAUACAUCGGAAUCUACCUUUUGGUGGGGGAUAAACGUAGGGAAACUUACGCUAAUACCGCAUACCGCCCGUUCGGGGGAAACGGCCGGGGACCGAGCAAUGGCCUGGCGCUGAUAGAUGAGCCGAUGU
Molecule: ribosomal RNA, 225 nt
Filed under: uncultured soil bacterium
Lineage: Bacteria
Description: partial 16S ribosomal RNA
Rfam family: Bacterial small subunit ribosomal RNA
Source: RNAcentral